Molecule: unclassified non-coding RNA, 221 nt
Filed under: soil metagenome
Description: partial contains 5.8S ribosomal RNA, internal transcribed spacer 2, and large subunit ribosomal RNA
Source: RNAcentral
AACGGUCUAUACCUGCGGUACCUGCGGAAGGAUCAUUACCGAGUUUUCAACUCCCUAACCCUUCUGUGAACCUACCUAUCGUUGCUUCGGCGGACUCGCCCCAGCCCGGACGCGGACUGGACCAGCGGCCCGCCGGGGACCUCAAACUCUUGUAUUCCAGCAUCUUCUGAAUACGCCGCAAGGCAAAACAAAUGAAUCAAAACUUUCAACAACGGAUCUCU